CUCAACUUUGGCCAAUGUGAACUGAACAGCAUAUCUUUCCAGGAGCUAAGAGACCAUUUUGAUGCCAUCAGAGAACAUGUUCAAAGUCAAGAUAACAGGACAGAUGUUGUACUGUUGAAUGAAAGUGUCCUACAUGAAGUCAUGAUGUCAGAGAGUUGCUGCUUACUCCGUCACCUGCUGAGGUUUUACAUUGAAAGAAUUUUCAAACACUAUG
Non-coding RNA from Pogona vitticeps (central bearded dragon), 214 nucleotides. Lineage: Eukaryota; Metazoa; Chordata; Lepidosauria; Squamata; Agamidae. The record is from RefSeq and is a predicted model, not a curated record.